Molecule: long non-coding RNA, 611 nt
Organism: Neofelis nebulosa (Clouded leopard)
Lineage: Eukaryota; Metazoa; Chordata; Mammalia; Carnivora; Felidae
Exons: 3
Source: RefSeq, a predicted model, not a curated record
UUGGGACUUAACCCUCAGGGCAUUGUGGCACCGGUGGAAAUGCUUUAAGUAAGAUACAGCACGACAUCCUUGCCCAAUAUACCGAAGCAUGUCUGAACUUGGAAAUCCUAACCCGCUCCUUGUAGGUUAAUCUUCUUCCCAAACCGCAUUUGUAAAAUUACAAGGACCUACUUACGGCUCUGCAGUGAUGGCCAAUAAAGCAGACCUGCAUUCAGAGAGAGAGAGAGAGAGAGAGAGACAGAGAGACAGAGAGACAGAGAGACAGAGACAGAGAGAGACAGAGAGAGAGAGAAGGAGGAGGAAUUGAAUUAAAUGAACAUGCAUUGAUGCAGCCUUCCUCUUUUCUGAAAUAGGAACGUGAACACAAAUGAGCUUCAACCAGAAGGAAAAUCCACAGCCAUCACAAGUUCCCUCUCUCGAUGGGACAUGUAUGAAACAGCCACGUACAAAUGGACUACUUACACUUUUGUUAUUCCUGAAUGUCAGAUGCGUGGAGCUUUGUGGUUAGCUAGAUAUCUCAGCUACAUGGAGAAGCAAGCACUAACCCAGUGCUUUAUAAUUCUUUUUGUCCACAGUGAACACAAAGAAUAAAGAAAGACAACUAAGGAUAA